GACGUAGGGCGCGAGCGUUGUCCGGAUUUAUUGGGCGUAAAGAGCUCGUAGGCGGCUCAUUGCGUCAACCGUGAAAACCAGCAGCUCAACUGUUGGCUUGCGGUUGAUACGGGUGGGCUGGAGUUCGGUAGGGGAGACUGGAAUUCCUGGUGUAGCGGUGAAAUGUGUAGAGAUCGAGAGGAACACCUGCGGCGAAGGCGGGUUGCUGGGCUGAUACUGACGCUGAGGCGCGAAGCCAGGGGAGCGAACGGG
This 252-nucleotide ribosomal RNA is filed under the name uncultured bacterium. Its description in RNAcentral is "partial 16S ribosomal RNA". It matches the Rfam family "Bacterial small subunit ribosomal RNA", at positions 524 to 776 of the family's 1533-position model. The record is from RNAcentral.